Molecule: long non-coding RNA, 2162 nt
Organism: Mercenaria mercenaria
Lineage: Eukaryota; Metazoa; Mollusca; Bivalvia; Venerida; Veneridae
Exons: 3
Source: RefSeq, a predicted model, not a curated record
ACCGUGUUUCGUAUCACGCGGAUGUUGAUAGUUAAUGCAUUUGUACAUGCAGUCUAAAUAGUUAUUUGGUUUAUCUUUUAUACAAACACUGCCCUGUUUAAACUGUGUCAAGGAAAUUAAAACAUAAAAAUAUAACUCAGUUAAAUCUGGAUUGAAAACUUCACAAAAUGGGCCAAGGGACAGGAUCAGGGACCGGCGGACCAAAAUUCUUCUGGGGAUUGUUGUGGUUCCUCGCAAUAUGGUUUAUAGCAUGGCCGGUGGCUUUCUUCCUGGCCUGGCUGUACAUCUUUCUACUGCCAUUUAGCGUCUGCAUAGAUCCAUUAAAGGAUGUAUGUCAAUUCUUGCAAAAAUGUGUGCAACUACCUUUAACAUGUGCUGAAAAUAUGGUAGCAAUGAAACCGAUGUGUUAAUUGUUUAAAAGAUGCAACAUUAACACGAUGAAUGUAUGGAUGCAAGGAAACCAGUGUAUGUGUAGCAGUUUUUAAGGUAGUGGACCUGAAAUGACCUUCUCGCUAGUCAGUCGUGCAACAUCGGGCAUUUCCGUAUUCUCCGGUAAAUCCGUCUAUUGCGUAGCAUAAAGGCCGAGGUGAUCAGAUUGCUCGCUAGUGUGACUUUCCGUAAAAUCCCGAAGAAUACCGAAGUCGCAUACGGAGAAUACGCCAUUUCCCGAUUGUCCUUACAGACUCACGCUGAAAAGUAUUGAUACCAUGAAAAAAACAGUGUUUAACUUUAUAAUGUAAAUAAAAACAUCGCUGCUAAAAGCCUACUAUUCUUAUGUAAGUAACAGCCAUUGUUAACAUUACUUUAAAUUCUGAAACAAACAAAAAAUGUUUUCAUUCCCUAUGUAUGUAACACUAUUUUAUUUUAUGAAAAAAUAAGUCACCUUGUAUUUUUUAUGGAAAUUAGUUUUAUUGUUGUUUUUUAAUUUGAAAUAAGGGAGACUCAAAGAAACCAAAUGGAUGAGUACAUGUAUAUAAUUAUACAGGUGACUGCUAUACUGUGGUAAGCGAAUAGAAUAUUGUGUUGGUUUGGCUGCCUGUAAUUUGAUUAUUAUUCACUGUUUAUUUACAUUUAUUCAUUAUUUUCUUAUAUCAUGAAUUAAUUUUAUUUGCUUAUUGAAUAUACUGAUUUAUAGAACUGGAUGUAAUUUUUUUUUUCGGCAGCGUAUAUUCACUUUAUUGUUUGUUUGUAUUCAUUGUUAAUUGUAGCUAUCCUGUGUGAUACGGGGAAAUCAAGCAUAAUAUGUAUACAUAAAUAUUAAUAGUAAUCUAAGACAUUGUUGUUUGUCUUUAUUUAUAUAAGAAUAUUAUUAAAUGGAUUGAAUGACAACACACAGUCAAAAUAAUGUGAUGACUUUUCUUUGAUAGACAUACUUAGGUUUAAUUUCAAUUAAUAAAAAGUUUAAAAAGAUUCCGAUUAGUCUCGCUAUGAAAUGCGCAUUAUUUAUCGAGAUCAUUUACUCGCGUAUGAUACCCUUAGUAUGAAAACUUUCUACAUUUCAUAAAAUCAUCUAAGGAGUAUUGCCCAGCAAUGUCUGCCAAACCUCAGCAUAUGCAGUUUUACCGUAUAUGUGUUUUUUUUUUUCAGAACACGAUUGGAGAAAAAAAUAAUUAAAAACAAUUCUUACGCUCUUUCAGAUAGGGUUUUCGCUAUAUCUACUUUUCUUUAGAAGAAUCCGGUUUUGUGACAAAAGCCGGCUCACCCAGAGUGCCACCCUCCCCAAUCUGCUCCUACGCAUAUAUGCGCAUAAAGUACAACCACGGAUAAUAAAAAUGUGCACCUUUUUGUUGCUACAACUUCUCGUUGCUACAGUAACCAGACAUUUAGAAAAAAAAUGGCCCUCAUAUUCUCAAUAUGGGUAAAGGCAAGACAGCUGCACAUGACCAAGAUAGAAGGAAGAAUGUUGUGGAGGCCCAAGGUUAGUGUUUCUGUCUAUCUGUACAGCAGAUUUAAUGAGGAAAAUCGCUUAGAAAGCUUUUUUUAUGGUCCAUAAUUUUUGCGCAUAAUUAUGUAGUCUAAUUAUUGUUACAGGAACCGUAAAAAGGACCUACAUUUACUCCAUAUAUCCAUAUCGUGAAAGUUAUCAUAGCAUCCAAGUUUUUGUGACGUUUUCAUUAUAUACCGGGUUUCAUGAAAAUAUCUUUUAGUUAUCGCAGUGUACG